AUUGAACGCUGGCGGCAUGCCUUACACAUGCAAGUCGAACGGCAGCACGGGAGCAAUCCUGGUGGCGAGUGGCGAACGGGUGAGUAAUACAUCGGAACGUGCCCAGUAGUGGGGGAUAACCCGGCGAAAGCCGGACUAAUACCGCAUACGACCUACGGGUGAAAGCAGGGGAUCGCAAGACCUUGCGCUAUUGGAGCGGCCGAUGUCAGAUUAGCUUGUUGGNGGGUAAAGCCUACCAAGGCAACGAUCUGUAGCUGGUCUGAGAGGACGACCAGCCACACUGGGACUGAGACACGGCCCAGACUCCUACGGGAGGCAGCAGUGGGGAAUUUUGGACAAUGGGCGCAAGCCUGAUCCAGCCAUGCCGCGUGCGGGAAGAAGGCU
Molecule: ribosomal RNA, 384 nt
Filed under: uncultured bacterium
Lineage: Bacteria
Description: bacterial SSU rRNA
Rfam family: Bacterial small subunit ribosomal RNA
Source: RNAcentral